Molecule: long non-coding RNA, 1331 nt
Organism: Oncorhynchus tshawytscha (Chinook salmon)
Lineage: Eukaryota; Metazoa; Chordata; Actinopteri; Salmoniformes; Salmonidae
Source: Ensembl
GGUUGUAGCAAAAUAACAACUGAAUACCAAGCAAUGUCCACUAAUGAACCCCCAAAAGAUGUUAACCCAAAAUGUAAGGUAAAGUUUGCUUUCUGUCUUACAAUAUAACAUUUCCUGUGUGUAGACAGCAUAAACCCAAUGUUGAUAUCAAGCACUCAAAAUGUAAAUCUAAGCCAAAUUCAUACACGGUGUAAAAAAUAAAAUGUCAGGCAUCAUUUAAGGCCUCGUUAUGUAGACAUACACCUACAUCAAUCACGUGCUGACAAUAUUUGUGGAGUCCACGGUUUUACACUCACUAAUGUGAGUACAAUUCCUAAAUUGCCAGCAUUCAGCAUUUUUAAAGAGCACCAUGUUUAAUCCGUUAUGAUUACACAGUGAAACCCAGUGGUGUUGGUCAUUGAUGGCACUAUUGUGUGUGGUGUCUUGGUCGUUAGUUACGUUUGUAUUGUAGGUGGUGCAGUGGAGAUGAACCUGAGGAUAUGGCUGGUUGAGCUCCACAGAUUAUCAGCUCUCUGUGUGGGUGUUUGUUUUUACAGUGGCGGCCUCAAGCAGCACCUUAGUCUUUAGCAGACCACAUGGGAGCUGAUGCAGUACAGAAAGCUUGAGUCAGCGAACACUCUGCCUUAUCAAUCCACAGAGAGAUGUGGUAUACUUCAGUUUCCCCAUCUAAAACAGUCUACACAUGACAGUGGUCAUUCAGCAUUCUAGAAAAUGACCAAUAGUCCAUAAGGGGGACAAACUUUGAAAAGAGCUUUAAUGAAAUCAACAUUUUAAAAGAAUCAGUCUGUUGUGUUGUACCAGUUUUUUUCCCCACUCAUCAAGCAAACUGUGUAAUAUAAAAUUAUAUCAUAAACAAAUCUUCAGUUUUUUUUCAGGAAUACCAUUUCCGUGGAAACUUUUGAAAGGCGAAACUUUCUUCUGAACCUCUACUUCGGACUCUCCAAUCAGCUUCUCCCAAUAUUGCUCCUGGGCGGUAGGUGGGCAAUUGGGACAAUAUUCCAAACUCGCAGUGCUGUCGGCUCUCGCAGUUCAUUUCCCAAAUCCCAUCCUUCUUUCUCCCCAACUCUAUCCAACUGUACCUUACCGUCUUGUCUCAGUUGUUAAUGAGUGUUCACCCACGGGAGAGCUCUCACUAGAUGUCCGGACAUGUUGUCCUAGUUUCUCGGUCCCAGACAACUCCUCACUCAUUCAGGGACAGGAUUAUGUCAUCCUCAAGGUCUGAGCUGUCUGCUGGGUUGACAGAAAGAAAGUAAAAACAGAUUUAGAGGUCUGGGGAAUAACGGGACAGAAUACUGUACAAGUCACGGUGCUGGAGUAAAAAUGCCACAAAG